This is a long non-coding RNA of Gallus gallus (chicken), 8490 nucleotides long. NCBI's taxonomy places the organism in Eukaryota, Metazoa, Chordata, Aves, Galliformes, Phasianidae. The record is from Ensembl.
GGCUGAGGUUGCAGCACAGUGAAUAUACAAGAGCCAGAGUGACCUGGGCAAGUGGAUAACGAAUCGUCAGGAUUACACGUGGUGGCAGAAGGAUGAGGUUUGGAGUGGAAUUAUCGAGCUGAUGAUGGGAAAGUAUCGCUGCAUUCUACCGAGCGCAGCAGGAGGAAUCAACUCAUUUUUGGGAAGCAUAAGAAGGAAUGAAGAAGGCCAAGUUCAGCAUCCCUUGGGGUGCUCUGAUGUGAUGAACUCACGGAUUAGCCCAAGCCCAUUCCCACUCCCGUAGCUGCAUGGGAUCUGAUGGCAGCCUGCAGCUCACCCCCAACAGAGCACAGCGAUACAGGUCAGCUCAUCCAUAAACACUACCAGGCACCGAAACAGAGGCAAGGAAGAACAUACAGCCAGAGCACGGAGCGUGUUAACAGGUGUACAGGUUCAAGCUCCUAUUCCGUGACAACCUUUCUGUGGGCAAGUCAAUCAGUUUCUCUGUGCUGCAUUUAUGUAUUCAUAAAUUCAGAAUGAAACUAGUUUAUGGUCUCACAGGGCCACUAUGAAAGGCAAAUCAUAUUAAAUACUGUAACCUACUCUAGUACUGUGACACCAGCAGCAAUUUAAGAAGCAAAGAGAGAAAGAGGGAGGUUUUAUACACAGUUUGCCUUUGCGGGAGAUGAAGCGCAGACAGUGAUGUCACCCCUUAGGAGAGCAACACAACACUGGAAACAUUUGUGACUUCCUCCAUAGUAUACCCAGCGGCUGCCCACCACCUGCCAAGAGGCCAUCGAGAAGGGCGGCCAGGCUCUGUAUGGUGCUGCAUGGCAGUAGGACAAGAGACAACAUGAAGCGAAACAAGGGACCAAGAGAGGUUCAGACUCGCCAGAAGGAGAAGCUUUCUCCAGAAGGGAGCAUUUUGAAGCUGAGCCCUCUGUGAGCAGGAGAUUACUCUGGAAACCUCCUGAGGUCCCUUCCCACCUCCUCAGGCCUCUUCCUCUGCCAGUCAAAAUAGAACCACGGAAUCAUAGAAUGGCCUGGGUUGAAAAGGACCACAAUGAUCAUCAAGUUUCAACCCCCCUGCUAUGUGCAGGGUCGCCAACCACCAGACCAGGCUGCCCAGAGCCACAUCCAGCCUGGCCUUCAAUGCCUCCAGGGAUGGGGCAUCCACAACCUCCUUGGGCAACCUGUUCCAGUGCGUCACCACCCUCUGUGUGAAAAACUUCCUCCUAAUAUCUAACCUAAACCUCCCCUGUCUCAGUUAAAAAAGAUAUAUAUCCUUGUCUUUGUUAAUGGCAAAGAAGGAGAGAUCACUGUGGAAAGGUAUUCAUGUUUUAAAAGAUUGUUUAUGCAGAUAUCAUAUCUGGAAAAAGUCCCUGCUAAGUGCACCGUAUCUGUUAAACACCUGAGGACAUGGAACAAGUCCUAAUGCGGUGCCUGGUUCAUACUUCUCAGCAGAUAUUAUCUCUUAAUUUCUUUUACAUGGCAGAUGAGAAGGUAUUUUCCCUUCAGUCAGAAACAAACACGCAUUUGUUUCCGACAUCACAGGUACCGCUGAGAAAUGGGCUUCCUGCUGUGUUUUUUUCUGUUCCUGUUUUGAACAAUACAUAAACUAUCCUAUUAAGAACAGAAAAAGGGCCUGGAGUUAGAAAUGCCUCUAUCUACAACAAUACCUCAGGACUGCUGGCAUUACAACACUAUCACAUAUGCAAGCAACAGUAGUAAGAUGUCAAGGAGAUAAAGGAGGAACCGGAGAUGGUAUUUCCAUGAAUGAAACUGAAAAUACGGGUGCCAUGGCAAGUCCCUGGCUGCCCUGCUAUCUUCCCACCAGCUGUGUGUAGGUGUUUCUGCUGGGCUGAGGGAGAGGUGCGGUCUCAGAGGAGCAGCUCUUCUGUGCAAGCAGUGGAAAGGGCAGUGUGUGUGUGCAUCCUCAGGUGACCAGCCCGUACAGACCUGAUGGAGCUUGACUGAGGGUGUUAUUUAUUUCUUCUUUUCAUGAACUCCUCUGUGAGCCCACAGGAAGACACUGUCUCAAAUAGGCGUUCGUCUCUCCAUCCUUCUCCUCUCACUUACUGGUAGCUACAACUCUGUGACAGCCUGAUGGGAGCCCUUGGGAACUGUUCUUGCUUACUUGUAAAGAAGUAUAAAACUCUGUUCUGAAAUUAAAAAGAAAAUAUUAAGGUUGAAGAAGAACUGGGUGGUGAAUUAAGCUGAGAAAAACGCCUGUAGGAAAUUCACAGUGAAUGCUCCUUUGUCCAGAGUUAGCCUCUCUCAGGCAUGUUCCCUUACACAGUGUAUGCCAACAUAUAGAUUUCUGGAUUGUUUUUUAUUUGUACAGGUGAACAGUGACAAUAAUUCAUGGUUCAGGUUGUCUAGAGGACUGGGAAGUAAUGAUAAUAGACUUAGUUCCUUCAGUAGUGUCCAAAAAGUGAUGGUUAGAGCUGAAUAAUUCAGAAAGUUUUCAGGUAAUCUUAGCUUAGGCCCUGAUCUUCCCAAGGCAAUGCUCAUACUUCAUUUCUGGCUUGCACAGUCACGCUGAACGCAAUGGCAGCAGGGUAACACAUCUGAAGCUAAGCUUAUCAUAAAUCAACUUUCUGUAUCAGGGCCUCUAUCACAGUCUGUUCAGAGAUAUGCCAUAGGAAAAGAAAAAGGGUAAAUAAGUUUGCUAUGGCCCCAUUUAAAUUCCUUUUGUGUUCGUUUCCUCUGACAGUUUGGGAAAUAGACCUUCAGUAAUAAAAAAAAAAGAAAAUACAGAAAAGGAUGAGGAAACAGUGAUAGAGAAGGAUGAGGAAACAGUGUUUAAAGCCACGUGUAAGUUCUUGUGAAAACCAAAUAGUGUGUUUGCAUAUGCUAGCAUUCAGGCUAGGUGUUCCCGCACGAUUCCUGUCAGGAAAAAGAUACCAUGCAUAUGAUUUAUCAGGCAGCCACCGACUAUGUACUGUGGAUAUUUGCUUUCAAUCCACCGAGUUCAAGAUUAGAAAAGGUAUCUGUUGAAUUCAUUUGAAUAGCAAAUAGACUGGGGAAUCACAAUCUGUUCCUAGCUAUUCAAUGGAUGAUAACCGGUAAUUCAUUAAAUAUAUUAGUCUCUCCAUUCUAAUAAUUAUUAGAGCAGAGACAGAAGUUUGAAAACAAUCAUUUCGAGAACAGUGCAGCAUUUCUAUGUGCAAGUGAUAAGUGACAUAUUUCAGCACGUGCGCUCCUUGGCUUCUGGAUCAGCCACAGUCACCUCGUGACAAAUCUCCUCGGCUGCUGCUUGGUGGAUAGAUGACAGUGCACCCCACACAGCACAGGUAUGAGGACUUCUAAGAUCAAAGCAGAAGUUAGCAACGUUAUCCAUGUGGCAUUACAUCUUGACCCCUGCGUGUAUGUACAGUUACGGAAGUUAGUCACCUACAGUGCUUACAAAUUAAUUUCAUCAAACAGUUGAGUUGAUCGGCACUGUGAGCACAAGGAAGCAGACCUUGGGCAUUUUCAUCUUGCAUGAAACCAUGAACGAAAGGACUUUGAGGACAACUGGUAGGGAAAAAAAAAAAAAAGCAAAAGCACUUUUGGGAGAGGAGAGCGCUGAGAUCCAUCAGUAUUCAGUAUUUCUGGGAGGAAGGCUCUAUCUGUAGGGAAUCUGGCCAGGACUGAGGCAGGUUUGUGAUCUCCUUUCCAGGCAGCUUUUCCACAGGGUGCUCAUCCUGUUGGAAUUGCGGCUGGAAGACCACAGCCUUGCAUGGUGACUCAUAAUUUGGAGAACCAAGUAGAAAUUCAGCCUCUCUGAUUCACAGAGGAUUUAGGAAAUGCUUGCUCUUAGCUCAGAAGCCAUUUCGUCAGCUGAAGGCAGAAGCAGGUGGAUGCCCACAGAAACAUCUGGAAAGUCAGCAUUACACGUGGAAAGAAGACAGAGCACUAAGAGAGAUGGCAGACUGCCAUUCUGUUUUCACUCAGUUAAUAUGUUCCCUCCUCCACUUGCUCACUAUGUCUUUCCAGGCUUCAUAAUCUCUGGUGGACAUACCAAGGGGUGGAGCUGGGCUGGCAACCAUCGCCAUGCAUCACUGCUCCUACAAACACAUAGUACUAGUAUGGGCAGACGGCAUCGUUGUGCUGAUCAUCAUCCUCUGAGUCAGCCAUUUGCAAACACCUUCUCCAGGCUGUCAUCUUGCCACUAGGAAUUCAAAAUCUGAGUCAGAACCCAAUUUAAACUGCUAUAAUUAACAGUCCCGAUUUAACCGAAUCUCACAGUUUGUCAUGUUGCAUUCUCUGUGUACAUCUGAAAAUCUCUCUCCAGGGCUCCCAAAGAGCCUCAGUGGUUUCAGGCUCCCACCAAGACCAAGUCCAACAGCCACCAAACAAACCUGUCCUUGCUGGAUUCAUCUCACCAUUAAAUACAGAAAUAUCACAGAUGAUGGGUUGGAUGUUGACGUGGACUUUUCUAUAAAUACUGCUGGUGAGGGCAAAGCCCGGGUGCGACAUGAAGGAAAGAAGGGUGGAAGUAUCUCACUUGCUCAGAAGCCCCAAAAAACUUAGAAUGGUUGAGACUCCUAUGAAGGAGAUAAUUAUACACUGCACAAGCUAAAAACAAGCACUUUUUUUCUUUAUUGUUUCUAAAUGAUGUUAUUAUGAAUGAAAAUUCACUCUGAGGAAGGUCUCCAGUUACUGUGGAUGCUUAGGAGAGCCCCUGAGUUUACUUUUAGGGAACGCAGUGCUAUUGCAAAUAAGGUGACCUGGGGACUAUCUGAUGGUUUUUCAGCCAUAAGUGACAGCAAGCUGGACUGUGGGUGGAAGUGCAUUUUUGAAAACACUUAUUUUUACGAUUUAAGGAGGAAUUUUUAUGUCCUCUGCUUUUUUUCUUUACUUUCAUCUGACCAUCAGGGAGCACUUCUGUGCUGCACAGGUGGCAGAACAGUGGCACAGGCUGCCCAGAGGCUGCGGAGCCCCCUCUUUGGAGCUCUUCAGAAGAUGCCUGAGCACACUGCUCCAGGCGUCCCUGCUUGGGCAGGGGUUGGGCCAGAUGGACUCUGAGGUCCCUACCACCCCCAGCCUUGAUGGAAUUCUGUGAUUCCUUUCAAUUCUCUGAAUGAUGGAUUUAGUCUUUUGUGUUGUGCUGCUAUUGUUUUUGCAGAGCUAUUUCAAGGCUGCCACUGUGAGCUCCCCUCUCAACCUAAGUGCUGCACUACUGUAGCUGGAGAGCCAUCCACUUAGCGUUCACAUAGGCGAAACAUUUGAGGGACAUAAAGAGAGGGACUCUUUAUCCGGGAGUGUAACAAUAAGACAAGGGAUAACGGCUUUAAACUAAAAGAGGGGAGAUUUAGAUUAGUUGUUUGGAAGAAAUUCUUCACAAUGAGGCUGGUGAGGCACUGGAGCAGACUGCCCAGAGAAGCCAUGAAUGUCCCAUAGCUGAAAUUGCUCAAGGCCAGGUUGGAUGGGACUUUGGGCAACCUGAUCUAGUGGAAGCGGUCCCUACCCACGACAGAGGACUUGGAACAAAAUAGUCUUUCAGGUAUCUUCUAACUCAAGCAAUUCUGUGAUUCUUCAGUUCUACGACUCUAUGAAGAGAUUGCCUCAAUUUCAUAUAGCAGAUGAUCAGACAAGUUGGGAUUAUUGCCAUGGCUUCAAAUCUGCUUGAGAUAGUCUGUGCCCUAAACUACACUUAUUUAGCUGCCUUGAUAUUUCGCUGUCAUUCCUCUUCAUCCUGAGCUUCCCAUGUACACCCACUAGGGAUUUCAUUCUGUGAACACUUCCAGCUGAAACUGUACCAUGGAAUUUUUAAUGAUACUUAGACAUUGCCUCGCUUUCUUUCAGAAAUAUCUACAUGUCAAAAAUUAUGGACGUUUCUGAAGAAGUCACUGAGCUAAAGACUUCUAAAGAAGUCACAUCCUGUCAUGCCAGAUGUGUCAAACCUUCAUGUUUCAGCGCUGAUCAAUUUACUGUCUUCUCAUGACGUUGUCUUCAUUAUUUUAGCAUGAGUUUUACAUAUCAGCAUAUAAAUUAUCAUUGUAUAUCUUUGGAGACAAAGAGAAACGCAUUUUUUGACGAUAGGAUUUUAAAUAUCUUGAAUGUAUUUCCAUACUGAAUCAGGAAAGUGUUCCUCAUAUCUAACUCUGGUUUUUCAUUGGCUUUUAGAUACUGUGUGCAUACAUUAUGUCAUAUUUAUAGUAGUAUAUGUCUGUACAUAAACUUACACAUACGCAGAAAAAAAAAAUCAAAUCGAGAUGUCAUUUAUACUCUCAAUGACCAAGCUGGGGAACAAAAUUUUGCCUCAUCACACAUCUUUCUACUUCAGUGAAUUAUUUUUAUUGAUGUCACAAGUCUUAAUUUUAAAUCCAGUUUUGAUGAAAAAAGUAGCUGAUCAUCUGCCCUGUUAUUAUACAAAAUACAUUUAUAUCGAGUGGUAGGAAAUAUAAUUUGUAGAAUGAUUAAUUACAUAAUGAUUAUAGUGGAGAAAUAUAUUCUCUAACAAAAUUUGUUAAAUGGAGGAAUUUAAUAUGAAAUAGUAGAUUUCCAAAUUUAUACAAAUAACACCAGAUGGUGAGUAGCUAGUUUUAAUUAAAUUAAGUUUGAUAAUUAUAGCUGAUUAAUUUUUAGGUUUGACUCAGAUUAGAAAGAAUGCACUAUUUUCCUGUAGAUUUAUUUUUAGCUCCCUUGCAAGGCUGUGAAUAUCAGUGUGUGCUGAGGUCCGGCCAGGUCCCACAGCUGCCAGCUCGCAGCAUCUCUGUGGGACCCAGCGGUGCUCCUGCAGCUGGGAGGAUGCUCGGGCCAGGACUACCUGAUGGAAGUCAGAAGUAGUUUUGCCAAUGGAAGAAGGAGGAAGUUUCUGCCGCAGGACCAAAAUAUGUUUUCACAACCCAAUCUACUGACUCAGCUGCUUUGAACAAAGAGAAAAGCUCAACGUGACCUCUUUGCAUAUGCACACAAUUGCACAUGCUGCAGCUUGUGUCCUGGGACAUCUUCUCAGGGAGGAACAUGUAAGGGCUGAAGCCUGGAAGCAAAGAGUCCCAGAGCUUGUCCCCCACUCUAGCACACUCGGUCUCAUCACUGCUUUCCAUAAGACCGUCUGAUCUGGUCCCACAGUUGAUCUGACCAGGUCCCAGUGGUUCCACUGAACCACAGAAAUAUGCUUAAAGCCACGAAUGUGUACAAGCUCUUUUCAGACUGUGGAAAGAGACCAAAUCUUACUCUGCAGGACCUAGAACCUGAUGCUCUGUGCUCACCGCUCUGUGGGAAUCACCUCCCACCUUUGGAUCAAGUGAAGUGUAAUGUGGACAAAUCAGAAUGCACACAGGCCUUUCUAACUGAUACAGGCUUUGCAGUUUCAGCUACAAGACCAAGUGAACAUUUUCAUCAUUUUUUUGGGCUACAUCUGCAAAAUGGGUGCUGGCUUCAGAGAUGUCUGGGAAGGAUCAGUUUCUCCCUAGCAGCAAGAGGCUGAAUGUAAUGUUUGUCUGAGAGUAACUGUGAGACAUUUUCUGAUGAUCAGGGAAGGACUCAUUCAGCAUGCUUGAGCUUGUGGUGUGCUUCUCAACUGCUUGGGCUGUUAACCUGUCUCCUGGUGCCUGUACACCAUAAAAAGAAGUAGGGACUGAAAAGAUUUGAUUCAUUGUCUCAUCACAGCACAAAAGUACACUGAAUAUUGUAAUUAUAAUUAAAUAUUGUAAUUAUAAUUGAACAUUACAAUUUAAAAAUUGAAUAUUGAAUUAAACAGAGUUUUAAGUAGAUGCCUACAACUGCUCUAAGCUAUCAGGUGCUUCUGACUUCCAGCAAAUAACACGUUAGGCUACAGGAAGCCAGUCUGAGAGCAUACUCUCCAUUCUGGAUGAUAUGAAACUUAAAAGAUGCCUUAAAUAAUUUCUCACUGCAGAGCUUUCUCAGAGCCAGCACUUGGACUGGCACUCAGGCAAGGUGGUGCUGUCCUGCCUCCUCCCUCUCAAGUCCCUUCUCUUUUAUCUCAGUUUUCUCUCUGCAGGGUUCUUCUUCCAUUAUCUGCCUAGUGCAAAUCCAGUCUCCUCCUCUGCUUUCUUUUUUGUGUGCGUGUGCUGAAAAGUGGCCUCCCUGAAUUUGUGUUAUAUUGAUUAUGUAAAUCAGCGCUUCUCCUCUAGAUUGCUUUUUCUUUGUGAACUGGGAGUAUAAUUUGCAGUCUUCUACCUGAUAAUUGUGAGUAUAAUUUGAGCUGUCUCUUUGUGGAGUCAUCAGUGACUGUUUUAAUUUCCAUAUGUGAGCGGUGCUAUUUUUCUUUAACUUUUUUUUUCCUUAAUCCUGCCUCUUUCUGAACUAAUGGAUUGAUUCUGCUGCUCAUAAUAGCAUCACCUGAAGUGUAUUUUGGAAUUUCUGCUGCUGCUGAGAUUGAAAUUUAUCUACAGUGUGACACAUUUCUCAACAUUUUCAGAAAAGACAUAAUCUUGUAACUAUCAACCUGACAAUAAAAUUGUCUAUCUGUAAUGGAAAAUGGAGGACUCAAAUAUGGUCAUUUUUUUUUCACUGUGAAACCGUUUCAAAAUAAGUAAAACAAUACCAUUUUGUUGU